UGGGGGAUAUUGCACAAUGGGCGAAAGCCUGAUGCAGCGACGCCGCGUGGGGGAUGAAGGCCUUCGGGUUGUAAACUUGUUUUGCUCUGAACAAGGCAUGCCUUUGGGGUGUGUGGAGUGUAGGGGUUGAUUAGCGCCGGCUAACUACGUGCCAGCAGCCGCGGUAAUACGUAGGGCGCGAGCGUUGUCCGGAAUUAUUGGGCGUAAAGGGCUUGUAGGUGGCUGGUUGCGUCUGUCGUGAAAGCUCAUGGCUUAACUGUGGGUUUGCGGUGGGUACGGGCUGGCUUGAGUGCAGUAGGGGAGGCUGGAAUUCCUGGUGUAGCGGUGGAAUGCGCAGAUAUCAGGAGGAAUACCGGUGGCGAAGGCGGGUCUCUGGGCUGUUACUGACGCUGAGGAGCGAAAGCGUGGGGAGCGAACAGG
Molecule: ribosomal RNA, 420 nt
Filed under: Fusobacteriota bacterium
Lineage: Bacteria; Fusobacteriati; Fusobacteriota
Description: Fusobacteria bacterium partial 16S ribosomal RNA
Rfam family: Bacterial small subunit ribosomal RNA
Source: RNAcentral